RNA transcript from Oreochromis aureus, 1749 nucleotides. It is a transcript of the gene named selection and upkeep of intraepithelial T-cells protein 7-like, with no coding region annotated. Lineage: Eukaryota; Metazoa; Chordata; Actinopteri; Cichliformes; Cichlidae. The record is from RefSeq and is a predicted model, not a curated record. The transcript is spliced from 4 exons.
AGGACUACUGUCAAGAUAACUUCCAGAGGAUAUAUGUAAAACAGUUGAGCUGAGAAUUUAGGCCUCCGUUAAGUUCACUUGUUAGUCACAUUUCUAGUUGGUGCUGUUAUUUCACCUUCAUGCUCAGACAUGCGUCUUUUCCUCCUCUCAGCUUCCCCUCUUCCCACCAUCUGGUUUCAUUGCACUGCACACUCUCAUAAUCAGAUAAAAGGAAGACGGUUUAAAGCAGUUACCUGACAUUUACAGUUUUAGAUUUUGUUCCUGAAAACAUCAGCAUUCUUGGAUUUUUAACAGCUGAAGUUUGAACUGGAUGAAGAGAAAAUGACUGCAAUGACUGAGUCGCUUUGCUGCACUUUGCUGCUUUUUGUCUGCGUGUUUGCAGCUGGUGAAGUGUUUGGCCCACCUGUCAGCCCCCAGUGUCCUGCUAUCGGCCAAGGUUAUCCACCAGACUGAGACAGUUCAUCUCAUCUCUGAGCAGCUGGAUCGUGUAGUGGAAAAACUACACACCUUUGGAGUGUGAGUCGCAAGUACAAUUCCCACUUGGUGUGCAAGAAAAACACAGCUGAGUCUGGAAAGAACGUUACUCUGACAUGUCGAGCUUUAAACACCAUCAUAGGUGUAGUGGAGUGGAGCAGACCUGAUCUAAAUCAAACAUAUGUCCUUUUGUACCGGGAUGGGCACUUUGAUUCAGCCAACCAGCAUCCAUCAUUUAAGAACCGGGUGGAUCUGCAGGAUAGACAGAUGAAGGAUGGAGACGUGUCUCUGAUUCUGAAGAAUGUGACGAUUAAUGACACUGGAACAUAUGAGUGUCGUGUCAGAGGAGAAAAUAAGUCAAAGAACAAAGCUAAUCUAAGUGGUGACUCCAUCUGCAUCAUCUACCUGAGUGUUGAUCCUCCAGGUCAGACAGGAGGACUCAUCAUUGGUCUUUCAGUUGUUGCUGUGGUGUUUUCUGCUGGUGCUGUUCUUUUUUUGCUCUAUAGAAAACAUAAACAAUGCAAUCAGGUCUCACAUCCUCCUCCUGCUGAACCACAGAUUGAAUUUUCAGAGACUUUUCUCAACUCUAAAUCUCCUGCUGCUGAAUACAAUGACAGAAAUGACCUGGAAGCAAACAACUGCCACGAACAAUCCACAAGGAUCCCUGAUGUCACUCUGACACUUGAGAAAGAACUACUUCAUCCUCCUCAGGAAACAGCUGGACCACUUUCAGAGAGUGACAUGAGAGUGCAGUAGAUAAUGUCUGACAGCAGUUUGAAGAGGAAAUGGAUUCUGUUCUGUUCUUCACUCAUCACCUACCUGACAGCUGACACCUCACACCUGUUUCUCACCCCUACUAGGAAGCGUCAGCAUGGGAGAGAAGAUAACUGCACCAUUUAGACUCAUCAUCACUCUGUCAGUUUUUGCUGUGCUUCAUGUUGGUGGGUUUUGACCUACAGAAACAUGAAGACAAACAGACUCACCUGAAACAGCAUGUCUGAAAUUUCUCUAAUGUUUUUGUUUCUUUGUUGUUGUUGUUGUUGUUUUUUUAACACUAUGAAUGUCCAGCUUAACGUUCAUUACUCUGUGUUUUGUGACAAACUUUAAGGUAACCUGUAUGUCACAUUUUGUUUUUACUGAGUACUAAGAACAACAGUUAAUCAAACUGAAUAAUGCUGUGAGAAGUAUUGUUUUUUCCGAAGGUUUUAUCUGACAUUUGCUUUGUUCUGAAGGCCUGGGCCUGGUUUCAUCCUGAUAAAAAAUAUUUUUUCUUUU